CAGACCUAUUUGCUUCCGAUUCAAGCCUAUACACAGAACAACACUUGUAUUAACAUGACAGAGAUGAACCAAAGCAAGCAUUUAUCAUUCAGAGAUGAAAUGAUUCAAACAUUAACAUAACAGAACACAAACAAUAGAAAUCAUUCAGAACUGAAAAAAUGCAAUUUAGCAAUCAACCUCUCUCUUUGGCAUUUCAUCGAGCAUCUUGUGGGCGCUCAGCAACAUCAGACAUUUGCAGCCAUAAAACCAUCUUUAGCAAACCCAAAUCAGUCUUAACGCAUUAUACGAUGAACGUAAUAGCCCUAACUCGUUUUUUUAACAAAAUCUUGAUGAAAUUAGAAUUUGAAGAAAAUCGCGAGAGAGAGAGCGAAAAUAUCGGGCAAAGAAA
Molecule: long non-coding RNA, 388 nt
Organism: Arabidopsis thaliana (thale cress)
Lineage: Eukaryota; Viridiplantae; Streptophyta; Magnoliopsida; Brassicales; Brassicaceae
Product: other RNA
Exons: 1
Source: RefSeq